CAAUAGCGUAUAUUAAAGUUGUUGCAGUUAAAAAGCUCGUAGUUGAAUUUCUGUCAGGAGUGACCGGGCCUUUGGAUGAACUUCCAUUGUUUUUUGCUCUGUUUGUCAUCUCUAGACAUCCUGAAAUAUUUUUUAAAAAUAUUUCUCUUUUACUGUUAGCAAAAUAGAGUGUUCCAAGCAAAGCGUAGUUUUGAAUACAUUAGAAUGGAAUAAUAAGAUAGAACUUUGGUGCUAUUUUGUUGGUUUGCGCACCAAGGUAAUGAUUAAUAGGGACAGUUGGGGGUAUUCGUAUUUAAUUGUUAGAGGUGAAAUUCUUGGAUUUAUGAAAGACGAACUACUGCGAAAGCAUUUACCAAGGAUGUUUUCAUUAA
Molecule: ribosomal RNA, 371 nt
Filed under: uncultured eukaryote
Lineage: Eukaryota
Description: partial 18S ribosomal RNA
Rfam family: Eukaryotic small subunit ribosomal RNA
Source: RNAcentral